This 390-nucleotide ribosomal RNA is filed under the name uncultured bacterium. RNAcentral describes it as "bacterial SSU rRNA". It matches the Rfam family "Bacterial small subunit ribosomal RNA", at positions 29 to 408 of the family's 1533-position model. The record is from RNAcentral.
AAUGAACGCUGGCGGCGCGCCUAAUACAUGCAAGUCGAGCGAGAAGACGUAGCAAUACGUUUGUAAAGCGGCGAACGGGUGAGGAAUACAUGGGUAACCUACCCUCGAGUGGGGAAUAACUAGCCGAAAGGUUAGCUAAUACCGCGUACGCUUCUUGGACUUCGGUUCAGGGAGGAAAGCGAUACCGUGGGUAUCGCGCUCUUGGAUGGGCUCAUGUCCUAUCAGCUUGUUGGUGAGGUAACGGCUCACCAAGGCUUCGACGGGUAGCUGGUCUGAGAGGACGAUCAGCCACACUGGCACUGCGACACGGGCCAGACUCCUACGGGAGGCAGCAGUAAGGAAUAUUGCGCAAUGGGCGAAAGCCCUGACGCAGCGACGCCGCGUGGGGGA